CUUUGAAGUUAGACAAAAAAUUUCAAGGCGGAAGGAG
This 37-nucleotide non-coding RNA is filed under the name Beduini massiliensis. Its description in RNAcentral is "L31-Firmicutes ribosomal protein leader". It matches the Rfam family "L31-Firmicutes ribosomal protein leader". Lineage: Bacteria; Bacillati; Bacillota; Erysipelotrichia; Erysipelotrichales; Erysipelotrichaceae. The record is from RNAcentral.